GUACACACCGCCCGUCACACCACGAAAGUCAGCUGUACCAGAAGUCACUGGCGCCAACCCGCAAGGGAGGCAGGUGCCCAAGGUAUGGCUGGUAAUUGGGGUGAAGUCGUAACAAGGUAGCCGUAGGUGAACCUGCAGAAGGAUCA
RNAcentral lists this ribosomal RNA (146 nucleotides) under uncultured eukaryote. RNAcentral describes it as "partial small subunit ribosomal RNA". It matches the Rfam family "Bacterial small subunit ribosomal RNA", at positions 1383 to 1525 of the family's 1533-position model. The record is from RNAcentral.